RNAcentral lists this small nuclear RNA (155 nucleotides) under Peromyscus maniculatus bairdii (prairie deer mouse). Its description in RNAcentral is "U1 spliceosomal RNA (ENSPEMG00000002636.2)". It matches the Rfam family "U1 spliceosomal RNA". Rfam says of the family: U1 is a small nuclear RNA (snRNA) component of the spliceosome (involved in pre-mRNA splicing). Lineage: Eukaryota; Metazoa; Chordata; Mammalia; Rodentia; Cricetidae. The record is from Rfam by way of RNAcentral.
AUGCUCACCUGGCAGGGGAGAUACCGUGAUAAUGAAGGUGGCUUUCCCAGGACGAGGCUUUACCCAAUGCACUCCAGAUGUGCUCACCCCUGUGCGGUGCACAAACUCCACUGCAUAAUUUGUGGCAGUGAAGGGGGGGGCUGCAUUCACUUUCU